RNAcentral lists this long non-coding RNA (414 nucleotides) under Ananas comosus (pineapple). RNAcentral describes it as "long non-coding RNA (ACOM_LNC022914)". The record is from RNAcentral. Lineage: Eukaryota; Viridiplantae; Streptophyta; Magnoliopsida; Poales; Bromeliaceae.
AGAAAGAACAUAUAUAGAACUUAUAAUGUAAAAUUAAAAGUCUAGAUGACUUAGGCUUAAUUUGGUAUUGAGGCCUAUCUAACACUAUUAGAUAAAAUGGAGUUGAGAAAAAAAUGUAUAGAAAUAUUAUGCUUCCACGUUCUCCGGUGGGACCGCAGAAAAUAUAUCGUAAUCGACUCAUCGCGAUAUGUGGAACGCAAUAUUACGUACGAAAAUAAAUAUGAUAUUUUUCCAACGUACUUUCUCACCGCGCGUAAUGCAAUCUCUCCGCAAUCCCAAACGAAGUCAUAACAAACCUCUCACCAAACUCCAACAAAUAUGUUAAAAGAUGUGAGGAGGAAUGGAGCAUAAUAAUAAUAAUAAUAAUAAUAAUAAUAAAAAAAUAAAUGAAUAGUUUCGGAUGAUAGAUAUGAU